UGACAGCCCCGUACACAAAAGCGCAUGUGCUGUGAGCUCGAUGAGUAGGGCGGGACACGUGGUAUCCUGUCUGAAUAUGGGGGGACCAUCCUCCAAGGCUAAAUACUCCUGACUGACCGAUAGUGAACCAGUACCGUGAGGGAAAGGCGAAAAGAACCCCGGCGAGGGGAGUGAAAAAGAACCUGAAACCGUGUACGUACAAGCAGUGGGAGCACAGGUUUACCUGUGUGACUGCGUACCUUUUGUAUAAUGGGUCAGCGACUUAUAUUCUGUAGCAAGGUUAACCGUAUAGGGGAGCCGAAGGGAAACCGAGUCUUAACCGGGCGUUAAGUUGCAGGGUAUAGACCCGAAACCCGGUGAUCUAGCCAUGGGCAGGUUGAAGGUUGGGUAACACUAACUGGAGGACCGAACCGACUAAUGUUGAAAAAUUAGCGGAUGACCUGUGGCUGGGGGUGAAAGGCCAAUCAAACCGGGAGAUAGCUGGUUCUCCCCGAAAGCUAUUUAGGUAGCGCCUCGUGAAUUCAUCUCCGGGGGUAGAGCACUGUUUCGGCUAGGGGGCCAUCCCGGCUUACCAACCCGAUGCAAACUGCGAAUACCGGAGAAUGUUAUCACGGGAGACACACGGCGGGUGCUAACGUCCGUCGUGAAGAGGGAAACAACCCAGACCGC
This 669-nucleotide ribosomal RNA is filed under the name Salmonella enterica. Its description in RNAcentral is "partial 23S ribosomal RNA". It matches the Rfam family "Bacterial large subunit ribosomal RNA", at positions 365 to 1035 of the family's 2925-position model. The record is from RNAcentral. Lineage: Bacteria; Pseudomonadati; Pseudomonadota; Gammaproteobacteria; Enterobacterales; Enterobacteriaceae.